RNAcentral lists this ribosomal RNA (440 nucleotides) under uncultured bacterium. RNAcentral describes it as "partial 16S ribosomal RNA". It matches the Rfam family "Bacterial small subunit ribosomal RNA", at positions 338 to 795 of the family's 1533-position model. The record is from RNAcentral.
CCUACGGGAGGCAGCAGUGGGGGAUAUUGCACAAUGGGGGAAACCCUGAUGCAGCGACGCCGCGUGCGUGAAGAAGUAUUUCGGUAUGUAAAGCUCUAUCAGCAGGGAAGAAAAUGACAGUACCUGACCAAGAAGCUCCGGCUAACUACGUGCCAGCAGCCGCGGUAAUACGUAGGGGGCAAGCGUUAUCCGGAGUUACUGGGUGUAAAGGGAGCGUAGACGGGGAUGUAAGGCUGGAGUGAAAGCCCGGGGCUGAACCCCGGGACUGCUUUGGAAACUGUGUAACUUGAGUACAGGAGGGGCAGGCGGAAUUCAUGGUGUAGCGGUGAAAUGCGUAGAUAUCAGGAGGAACACCGGCGGCGAAGGCGGCCUGCUGGACUGAAACUGACGUUGAGGCUCGAAAGCGUGGGGAGCAAACAGGAUUAGAUACCCUUGUAGUC